GAUGAAGAACGCAGCGAAAUGCGAUAAGUAAUGUGAAUUGCAGAAUUCAGUGAAUCAUCGAAUCUUUGAACGCACAUUGCGCCCGCCAGUAUUCUGGCGGGCAUGCCUGUUCGAGCGUCAUUUCAACCAUCAAGCCCCGGGCUUGUGUUGGGGACCUGCGGCUGCCGCAGGCCCUGAAAUGCAGUGGCGGGCUCGCUGUCACUCCGAGCGUAGUAGUUACAUCUCGCUCUGGGCGUGCUGCGGGUUCCGGCCGUUAAAAGCCUUAUUUACCCAAGGUUGUCCUCGGAUCAGGUAGGAAGACCCGCUGAACUUAAGCAUAUCAAUAAGCGGAGGA
Molecule: unclassified non-coding RNA, 334 nt
Filed under: soil metagenome
Description: partial contains 5.8S ribosomal RNA, internal transcribed spacer 2, and large subunit ribosomal RNA
Rfam family: 5.8S ribosomal RNA (bases 1-120)
Source: RNAcentral